AAAAGAUCAUGCAUGUGCCAACACACUUGUGCUUGAUUUAAAAACUAUUACAUAUUGUUUCUUCAUUGCUAUGGAAUAAAGGCAUAGAUAACAUAAUUAGAUGAGUCAGUUAAUUUUUGGUUGAGCAUAGAGGAACAAAUUCUGUUUCCUUGGACAUUAACCUGGAUAAUUCUAUAUUAUUAUGGUCCUUAUCCGGGUACUGAGGAUAUACCCUUUUUUCUUGUGGAGAGAAUUUAAUUUUCCUGUGUAAGUAAUUAUCUGAUUCAACUAACGUUUUCACAUAGGAAACUUUGGUUUUUUUAGAUGCCUCUAAAAUGCCAUCUGUGUCUUGUCAUGAUUAUGAUAUUAGUAUUUUAUUGAUAAAUAUUCAUCCUAUAUUUUCUCAUGUUGGUUUUGUGGAUAUAUGGCCACCCCCACAGGCCCACACAACACACCCCUCCCCUUCCGCGUCCUUUUUCUGGUCCUUAUCUUGUAGUUAUCUGAUGUAUAUUUCUUUCUGGCCCUAUUGUAUUUUGCAGCCGGUUGAUACUCCAAUGGCAUCA
This 542-nucleotide unclassified non-coding RNA is filed under the name Hevea brasiliensis (rubber tree). Lineage: Eukaryota; Viridiplantae; Streptophyta; Magnoliopsida; Malpighiales; Euphorbiaceae. The record is from RNAcentral.